Molecule: ribosomal RNA, 628 nt
Filed under: Eleutherobia somaliensis
Lineage: Eukaryota; Metazoa; Cnidaria; Anthozoa; Malacalcyonacea; Alcyoniidae
Description: eukaryotic LSU rRNA
Rfam family: Eukaryotic large subunit ribosomal RNA
Source: RNAcentral
CGGGCGACAAGGAUGCAAGGAAGGUGGACCGGCUCUCGGGCCGGUUGUUAAGCCUUGUGCUCGCAUAGCUCGACGGCGACCGUGGCUCGAAGAGGCGACGCGUGCCUAGCUGGCGACUCGAACGAUCGGUCUGGCAUGUCGACUGUGGCGGACGGCACGCCUGUGCGCUCGAACUGCUGCCGGUCGACCGUGCGAUGUUCGCACACUACGCGUCGAAGAUGCUGACGACCAUACGGCUCCAUCCGACCCGUCUUGAAACACGGACCAAGGAGUCUAACAUGUGCGCGAGUCUCCGGGUGAUCGAAACCCGUGGGCGCAAUGAAAGUAAAGAUCGUCCUAGACGAUUGAGGUGAGAAGCAGGCACCUACACGGUGCCUGCCGCAUCAUCGACCGACCUAUUCUGCUCUCAGAGAGGUUUGAGUAAGAGCGUAUCUGUUGGGACCCGAAAGAUGGUGAACUAUGCCUGAAUAGGGUGAAGCCAGCGGAAACACUGGUGGAAGCUCGUAGCGAUUCUGACGUGCAAAUCGAUCGUCGAAUUUGGGUAUAGCGGCGAAAGACUAAUCGAACCAUCUAGUAGCUGGUUCCCUCCGAAGUUUCCCUCAGGAUAGCUGGAGUUCAUACAUGCAGU